Molecule: ribosomal RNA, 388 nt
Filed under: uncultured eukaryote
Lineage: Eukaryota
Description: partial 18S ribosomal RNA
Rfam family: Eukaryotic small subunit ribosomal RNA
Source: RNAcentral
CAGUAGCGUAUAUUAAAGUUGUUGCAGUUAAAAAGCUCGUAGUUGGAUUUCUGGCCUGACGAAACUGACCCGCCGCGGUUACGUGUGUGAGUGUCGGGCUUCGUCUGCCAUCCUUCCAGAAAACGUUUCUACCCUUCACUGGGCGGGAUUCGCGAUCUGGAACUUUUACUUUGAAGAAAUUAGAGUGUUCAAAGCAGGCUUGCGCUGUGAAUACAUUAGCAUGGAAUAAUAAUUUAGGACUCAGGUCUUAUUUUGUUGGUUCUUAAGAUCUAAGUAAUGAUUGAUAGGGAUAGUUGGGGGUGCUAGUAUUCAGCGGCCAGAGGUGAAAUUCUUGGAUUCGCUGAAGACUAACUUAUGCGAAAGCAUUCACCAAGGAUGUCUUCUUUAA